This 253-nucleotide ribosomal RNA is filed under the name uncultured bacterium. RNAcentral describes it as "partial 16S ribosomal RNA". It matches the Rfam family "Bacterial small subunit ribosomal RNA", at positions 524 to 776 of the family's 1533-position model. The record is from RNAcentral.
GACAGAGGUCCCGAGCGUUAGUCGGAAUCACUGGGCUUAAAGCGUGUGUAGGCGGAUUUGUAAGUACCUUGUGAAAUCCCACAGCUUAACUGUGGAACUGCUUGGUAUACUGCUUAUCUUGGGCCACUUAGGGGUUACCGGAACAAACGGUGGAGCGGUGAAAUGCGUAGGUAUCGUGUGGAACGCCAAUGGUGAAAACAGGUAACUGGGAGUGUGCCGACGCUGAGAUACGAAAGCCAGGGGAGCGAACGGG